This 388-nucleotide ribosomal RNA is filed under the name uncultured bacterium. RNAcentral's name for it is "bacterial SSU rRNA". It matches the Rfam family "Bacterial small subunit ribosomal RNA", at positions 30 to 420 of the family's 1533-position model. The record is from RNAcentral.
AUUGAACGCUGGCGGCAUGCCUUACACAUGCAAGUCGAACGGCAGCGGACCUUCGGGUGCCGGCGAGUGGCGAACGGGUGAGUAAUAUAUCGGAACGUACCUUUCAGUGGGGGAUAACGUAGCGAAAGUUACGCUAAUACCGCAUAUUCUGUGAGCAGGAAAGCAGGGGAUCGCAAGACCUUGCGCUGAUUGAGCGGCCGAUAUCAGAUUAGCUAGUUGGUGAGGUAAAGGCUCACCAAGGCGACGAUCUGUAGCGGGUCUGAGGGGAUGAUCCGCCACACUGGAACUGAGACACGGUCCAGACUCCUACGGGAGGCAGCAGUGGGGAAUUUUGGACAAUGGGCGCAAGCCUGAUCCAGCCAUGCCGCGUGAGUGAAGAAGGCCUCGG